Long non-coding RNA from Ruditapes philippinarum (Manila clam), 3276 nucleotides. RefSeq lists it as uncharacterized. The transcript has 2 exons. The record is from RefSeq and is a predicted model, not a curated record. NCBI's taxonomy places the organism in Eukaryota, Metazoa, Mollusca, Bivalvia, Venerida, Veneridae.
AACAAAAAAAAAAAAAACAAAAAACAAUGGUUAUGUUAUGUUUACAGAAAAAAAUUGGGUAGAUAAGUAAGAUAACUGCCAUUUAGAACUAUAUAUAACGGAAUAUAUUGCAUACAUGUCUUUACGUCAAUACUCAUUUUCAACAGUAGGUGUUCACGUUUCAACAAUAAGUUAUUUUAAUAAAAUAAACAAUUUGGUUGACAAUACAAAACAAUUCAUAGUCAAUAGUAUGCUAGAAGGGUUCCGUAGAUUAUCGAAAAGGCAUGACACAAGACACCCGAUAACACAAAAUGUACUGAUACAGCUUUUAUCAGCCCUACCUAACGCUUGCAGAUCACAAUAUGAGUGUUUAAUGUUUUCUGAUGCUUUCUGUCUUGCCUACAUAGGUCUGUUAAGAAUAAGCGAAUUUGCAUUGCCUUCAAAGAAAUCAAAAAAGGUAGUUUUAAAUGUAGAUGAUGUAACGAUCAAUCAAAAUCUCAUUAGACUGUAUUUUAGAUGUCCAAAAACGACCAGAGAUAUGUCGGAUGUUCUAUUGAUAUUCCGAUAACUGACCAAACUCUGUUAUGAAAAACUGAAAGAGUUCUUACAUUUUAGAAGUAACGUGCAAGGGCCGUUAUUCUGCCAUUUCGAUGGAAGUCCCUUAACAUCCUUUCAAUUCAAUUCAGUAUUAAAAAGAACUUUGAACUUGAUAGGUCAAAAAAAAAUUAAAGCACACUCUUUUCGAAUCGGCGGGGCUUCUAAUAUGUUCCGUGAGGUUUGUGCUAUCAAUGAUAUAAAAUACAGAGUCCGUUGGCGAUCUUACGCUUAUAAAUCCUACAUCCGAUAAUUUUAUAGUAUUUCGUGGAAAAAACUUAUUUUUUUAGGAUCUGCCAAAAUGGCUGUAAUGUGAAUGCCGGCGAUCCGAAAUUUGGCUAUUUAAAUAAAGUACGUAUUUGUAUUAAGAAACCGUUACCGGGUCUUAAUACACAUUAAUGUAUUAAGAAGAGCAAUUUAUGCUGUUGUAAUAAAAAGAUGUUAUAUAUAUUGGCAUUAUGUGCCUGGCAUUAUGUGCCUGAUAUUGUUUUUUGAAUGUGUUAAUGUAUAACAAGCAGUUGGCAUUAUGUGCCUGACAUGUGUCUUUUAUAAUUUAUAACACCCAGUUGGCAUUAUGUGCCUGACAUUAUGUGUCUUUUAUAAUUAUAACACCCAGUUGGCAUUAUGUGCCUAACACUAUGUGUCUUUAAUAAUUUAUAAAACCCAGUUGGCAUUAUGUGCCUGAUAUAAUGUGUCUUUUAUAAUUUAUAACACCUAGUUGGCAUUAUGUGCCUGACAUGUGUUUUGAUAACAUUACUUGAUAAUUAUAAAUAUUAAAUGGAUAGGUAAUAUAUAAUUAAACUUAUUUCAGCCUGUAAAAUGUCGGAUGUUUGGAUUAUAGGCUCUUCAUUUAUAAGGGAUGCCUUUCAAACAGCAUGCCGCAGAAGUGAGGACUUAAAUUUCUAGGUUAUAAUGUUAUAUGGGAAUAUCAGGGGGACAUGAAAGUUUCUGAUUUAAAACCUUCGAUAGAAUACUUGCUUGAGUUUAAAAAUGCGCAAAAUGUUUUGAUAUUACACUGUGGCGGGAACGAUUUAGGAAAUCGACCUUCAGUUGAAAUCAUGGGACAUCAAAAACUUUAUAACAAGGACUUCACUGGAAAAAAUACCUGUUACUACAGAUAUUACCAAGAAGGUCAUGGAGAUAUGUCCAAUGUAACAAAACUGCAAAUAAAACCCGCAUGCGUAUAAAUAGUUGUAUCAGUACAUUUGUUAUUAAACUCGGGGGUUAUUAUAUUCGUUACCCUGAUUGACCUUUUCGAGGACCUAGCUGGGCGCCGUUUUCCGGUACGUUGCCGUUUUAGCUCUGGGGAAUUACACCAAAUGAAGUACAUAACACAGUUACGAGAUAUUUCUAUUUUUCUAUCAUUAUUUAACCGUUUAAGGUGAAAAAAAUUGAUGUUUUUAAAAAUUAUCAAUAUUCGUUUAAUAUCUAUUGCAAAUUAUUAAAAAAACAAAACAAAUUGUUUAUAAUGAAAAUCAAUAAAAUUCAAACAGACGUAGUGGAAUCUUCCAUAAUAAAUAAGGUUAUUUUCUGCGUAAACUUGUGUAUUUACUUUAUUUUUUUGUAUGGAAUUAUUCAUACAAUGAUAUUUAAUUAUUUUCUUAUAAAGAAAUAACUGUUUUAUUUCAAUUUAAUUUAAAAAAAAGGCCGAAAACAUUGAGUUCGCUAUUACACUUCAUUGGGUGAAUUCCCCGGGGCUGUGUGCGGAGAGUGCCGGGGCGGCGUUUGGCUGGGUUUUCGAAUUCUUAUAUUAAGGAAAACCCUAGGUUGUAUAGGCCGGAUGGCACACAUCUGUCGGACUUUGGUAACCACGUUUUAUUGAAUACAAUAUCGGGCGCUCUCAACACAUUCACGUCCAUGGCUGGGUAGGGCAAAAUUGUAGCUGUGGUAGCCCGCUUUGGCGGAAGCCCACAGGCAAAUGUUUCACUUUGCUUGUGGGCUUUUUGGCAUGUGCUACCACGUUUUUGCAACCGUUGCCGGGGCAAAAACAGUUAUAGUAAAGACAUUUAGUAGUCUUAAAUCGAAACACAUAGACAUUUCAAUAGGUUAAAUAAUUAAAAUGCUUUUAUCCAGCCAUGGCCAUUUUCAUGCCAACACGUUUUUGUUAAUAAAUACCAGUACGUUUUUUAGACUGAUUUCUCUUUUCUUUUAUUCCCAAGUUGUAAUGUUUGAAUAAUAUUCGAUUUAUCCGCUAGAGGAUUAAAUCUUUUAUUCAAAUCUUACAACUUAACAUUUUUUAUUAUAACACCCCAGUAGGGCCUCAAAAAGAGUUGUCAGGGGAGACAACUUACACUUGAAUAUGUCAUAUAUAAGGCAGAGCAAAUUCUGGGAACGGUCUGUCAAUCGUGGCUCACCAUAGAAGAGAUAACACUAUAUUAGCACGUCAUGGCUGGAACAGAAAGAUAUAGAAAAAGGAGAAUGCUUAUAAUUCUCAGCGACCGUUAUCGGAGCUGAUCAAUUUGUAAAACAGACAUGUAAAGUGAUUUCAUCAUCUGUACCUGUGUACCUUGAGUUGAAGCAUGUGCUACCACGUUUUUGCAACCGUUGCCGGGGCAAAAACAGUUAUAGUAAAGACAUUUAGUAGUCUUAAAUCGAAACACAUAGACAUUUCAAUAGGUUAAAUAAUUAAAAUGCUUUUAUCCAGCCAUGGCCAUUUUCAUGCCAACACGUUUUUUGUUAAUAAAUACCAGUACGUUUUUUAGA